This 834-nucleotide ribosomal RNA is filed under the name Perforatella incarnata. Its description in RNAcentral is "Monachoides incarnatus partial large subunit ribosomal RNA". Lineage: Eukaryota; Metazoa; Mollusca; Gastropoda; Stylommatophora; Hygromiidae. The record is from RNAcentral.
AAUUAUUAUUAGAUUUUUAAAUAAUUAUUCACGAAAUAAAUUGAGCUAAAUUUUUGGUAUUUUUGGAAAUUAUAACUAUAUGUUACAAAAUAUAUUAACUAAAUAGAUUUAGGGGUGAAAGGCCUAUCAAAUUUUAUGAUAUCUUGAAGUAUAUAAAAUAUAUCAAGUAUUUCUAAUUCAACUAUUGAAUGUUUAGGUUCAAUAGUAACAUUAUAUUUUUUAAAAAAUUGUUCAAUUUUUUUAAGUAAAAUUGAGUUAGAGCAUAAAAUAUACAUCAAAUUUUUAUUAUAUGAAUAUAAAUAUACUACGGUUAUUAAUAAAUAUAAUCAUAUAUAAUGUAAUUAUUAGUAAUAGUUUAUUAAACUAUAUAAAGGAAUUCGGCAAGAAAAUUUUUCACCUGUUUAUCAAAAACAUAGCUUAUUGAAUAUCAUAAUAAGUAACCCCUGCUCAAUGGAAAUCUAAAUAGCCGCAGUACCUUGACUGUGCAAAGGUAGCAUAAUCAAUUGGCUUAUAAUUGAAGUCUGGAAUGAAUGGGUAAUCUGGAAAAUAACUGUCUUUAUUUGUAGUAUUUUGAAUUUACUUAUAAAGUGAAAAUACUUUAAUAUAAAUAUAAGACGAGAAGACCCUAGAAAUUUUUUGUUAAUAACUUUUGUUGGGGCGACAGGGUAACAUAUAAACUUACUUACAUUUAUAUAAAUCUUAUAAGGUACGUAACUAAAUUACUCUAGGGAUAACAGCAUAAUAUAUAAGAGUUUAUGACCUCGAUGUUGGACUAGGUAAUUAAAUAUUUAAAAGAUAUCUUAAUUUGCUCUGUUCGAGCAGUAUCACCUACAU